Molecule: ribosomal RNA, 253 nt
Filed under: uncultured bacterium
Lineage: Bacteria
Description: partial 16S ribosomal RNA
Rfam family: Bacterial small subunit ribosomal RNA
Source: RNAcentral
UACGUAGGGAGCAAGCGUUGUCCGGAAUCAUUGGGCGUAAAGCGCGCGUAGGUGGCCUCAUAAGUCCGUUGUGAAAGUCAAAGGCUCAACCUUUGAAAGCCGAUGGAUACUGUGAAGCUAGAGUACGGAAGAGGCGAGUGGAAUUCCUGGUGUAGCGGUGGAAUGCGCAGAUAUCAGGAGGAACACCAAUAGCGAAGGCAGCUCGCUGGGACGUUACUGACACUGAGGCGCGAAAGCGUGGGGAGCGAACAGG